UACGUAGGGUGCGAGCGUUAAUCGGAAUUACUGGGCGUAAAGCGUGCGCAGGCGGUUCGCCAAGUCAGGUGUGAAAUCCCCGGGCUUAACCUGGGAAUUGCGCCUGAAACUAGCGGGCUUGAGUGUGGCAGAGGGGGGUGGAAUUCCGCGUGUAGCAGUGAAAUGCGUAGAGAUGCGGAGGAACACCGAUGGCGAAGGCAGCCCCCUGGGCUAACACUGACGCUCAGGCACGAAAGCGUGGGGAGCAAACAGG
This 253-nucleotide ribosomal RNA is filed under the name uncultured bacterium. RNAcentral describes it as "partial 16S ribosomal RNA". It matches the Rfam family "Bacterial small subunit ribosomal RNA", at positions 524 to 776 of the family's 1533-position model. The record is from RNAcentral.